UGCCAGACUCCUACGGGAGGCAGCAGUGAGGAAUAUUGGUCAAUGGACGGAAGUCUGAACCAGCCAUGCCGCGUGCAGGAAGACGGCUCUAUGAGUUGUAAACUGCUUUUGUACAAGGGUAAACCUGAAUACGUGUAUUCAGCUGAAAGUACUGUACGAAUAAGGAUCGGCUAACUCCGUGCCAGCAGCCGCGGUAAUACGGAGGAUCCAAGCGUUAUCCGGAUUUAUUGGGUUUAAAGGGUGCGUAGGCGGAUUGAUAAGUUAGAGGUGAAAUGUCCGAGCUCAACUCGGGAACUGCCUCUAAUACUGUUGAUCUAGAGAGUAGAUGCGGUAGGCGGAAUGUAUGGUGUAGCGGUGAAAUGCUUAGAGAUCAUACAGAACACCGAUUGCGAAGGCAGCAUGCCGGCUCCACACUGACGCUGAGGCACGAAAGCGUGGGUAUCGAACAGGAUUAGAUACCCGAGUA
Molecule: ribosomal RNA, 466 nt
Filed under: uncultured bacterium
Lineage: Bacteria
Description: bacterial SSU rRNA
Rfam family: Bacterial small subunit ribosomal RNA
Source: RNAcentral